UUUGGAACUUUUUUUAAAGAGUAUAGCUGGUUUAAAAUGGAAUCCCAGCUGGGUCAUGCUGAUUUUCAGUGCCAAAAAACCCUCUAAAACCAGACAGCAGACCUGUCUGAUCAGAUUUGGAGACCAGCUAAAGCCAGCAAAAUACAUGUAAAGAAAAAAAAAGAUGCUUCUGCCAGGGUUAAUUUUUCUAACAUACAGAUGACACCAAAACUGAAAAAAACAUGGCCUAAAAAGGACAACAUUUCACACAUCAUCUUAACUGACCUCUGAAUGCUGCUGUCAGAUGAAAAUUUUGAUUUGUUUGAACCACCAAUCAAAGAUCCCAUGUUUCUUGUUGUCUGUCUCUCUCUAACGCUCUCAUUCGCAUCUUAAUUUGCUAACACACACACAUUAAUGUUAUGAUGCACUUUGCACCCAUCCCUCCUGCUGAUAUCCCUCCCUUGUCAAAUUAGCUCCUUUUGUUUAUGUGUCAUUUCCCCUGUAAAGUCGUUGGGUUCAGAUACAUUUGCGG
Molecule: long non-coding RNA, 511 nt
Filed under: Sinocyclocheilus grahami
Lineage: Eukaryota; Metazoa; Chordata; Actinopteri; Cypriniformes; Cyprinidae
Description: lncRNA (ENSSGRG00000037609.1)
Source: RNAcentral